CGGCCCUGGUAGCGCAGCGGGAAGCGCCCCUGACCAUCGGGCUGGCCGAGGAAGGGCAGCCCCUGCUUCAUCUGCUCCGGCAGAUCGGGCCCGG
RNAcentral lists this transfer RNA (94 nucleotides) under Aeromonas hydrophila. RNAcentral's name for it is "tRNA-Asp(atc)". Lineage: Bacteria; Pseudomonadati; Pseudomonadota; Gammaproteobacteria; Aeromonadales; Aeromonadaceae. The record is from RNAcentral.